RNAcentral lists this ribosomal RNA (424 nucleotides) under Verrucomicrobiota bacterium. RNAcentral's name for it is "Verrucomicrobia bacterium partial 16S ribosomal RNA". It matches the Rfam family "Bacterial small subunit ribosomal RNA", at positions 355 to 776 of the family's 1533-position model. Lineage: Bacteria; Pseudomonadati; Verrucomicrobiota. The record is from RNAcentral.
UGAGGAAUAUUGGUCAAUGGGCGAGAGCCUGAACCAGCCAAGUAGCGUGCAGGACGACGGCCCUAUGGGUUGUAAACUGCUUUUAUGUGGGGAUAAAGUGCGUGACGUGUCAUGCAUUGCAGGUACCACAUGAAUAAGGACCGGCUAAUUCCGUGCCAGCAGCCGCGGUAAUACGGAAGGUCCGGGCGUUAUCCGGAUUUAUUGGGUUUAAAGGGAGCGUAGGCUGUCUAUUAAGCGUGUUGUGAAAUAUACCGGCUCAACCGGUGGCUUGCAGCGCGAACUGGUCGACUUGAGUAUGCAGGAAGUAGGCGGAAUUCAUGGUGUAGCGGUGAAAUGCUUAGAUAUCAUGAAGAACUCCGAUUGCGAAGGCAGCUUACGGGAGCGCAACUGACGCUGAAGCUCGAAGGUGCGGGUAUCGAACAGG